GAAAUGCGAUAAGUAAUAUGAAUUGCAGAUUUUCGUGAAUCAUCGAAUCUUUGAACGCACAUUGCACCUUGUGGUAUUCCACAAGGUAUGCCUGUUUGAGCGUCAUUUCUCCCUCAAACCCCCCGGUUUGGUGUUGAGUGAUACUCCGGUCCACUUCAAAUUUAGCUACAACUUAUGUUCUAAUACUUCGUAAGUAACACUAAAAAGAUCGACCUCAAAUCAGGUAGGACUACCCGCUGAACUUAA
This 246-nucleotide unclassified non-coding RNA is filed under the name uncultured Saccharomycetales. RNAcentral describes it as "sequence contains ITS1". The stretch from base 1 to 105 matches the Rfam family "5.8S ribosomal RNA", at positions 50 to 154 of the family's 154-position model. Lineage: Eukaryota; Fungi; Ascomycota; Saccharomycetes. The record is from RNAcentral. RNAcentral also lists the same sequence under 1 other name.